Molecule: non-coding RNA, 1199 nt
Organism: Tetranychus urticae (two-spotted spider mite)
Lineage: Eukaryota; Metazoa; Arthropoda; Arachnida; Trombidiformes; Tetranychidae
Source: RefSeq, a predicted model, not a curated record
AAGUGUGAGAAAUGAAAUUUUUGUUAAGACAACCAAAGUGUUUUCACAUAAGAAAACCCAAAAUGCCUCUUGAAAAGGGCAAAAAAUGAGAAACCAAAGUAGGAGUUGACUAAUUUUUCCUCCUCAUCAUAAACCUUUUGUUUUUAUUUUCCGUUUUUACCCAAUAAAUUAAAAUAUUGGUUCUCAGUGUAUCCUAAUUAAGUUGCGAAAAUUGAUUUAUCGUUAAAAAUUCAAUGAAUCAUCGUUUUUCUCAUUUUUUGCAUCUUAAUCCAUUUCCAUUUCUCACCAUUAUACCAAUAUGAGUAAAACCAAACAAACCCAAACCAUGAUAAUAUUUCAAGAUAAAAAGCGAUGAUAAUCAUGAUGGUGAUGAUGAUGAGUAACAAGAUGUUGAUCCAAAUGGAGUCAAUAUUUAUAUCUAUAAGCCUCUUUUCCCACCAGUGCAACCAGGAUGAUGAUGAUCAUCUUAACAUGAUAAGAGAAAGCUUUUUCAUUUCAAUUAUGAUUGUUUGAUGAAAAUGAUGAUUUUGAUGAAACAAAAAAGUUGGACAAGAUAAGUGUAACAAAAGAAAGUGAAAUGAUAAGAAACACAAAGAUUAAUAACAACUCAUCUUUGCCUUUCUAAGGACAGAAUUGUAAAAUCUGAACAUCUUCAUCAUUUUCCCCUGACAAAACAUGAACAUCAGAAAAACCAGCGAAUGCGUCUACAAAUAUUACAAUAAACGGUUCAAAGACGCAGAUUGACAUUGGCUCAACAAUUCAACCUUUUCAUCGUCAUCAUUAACAUCACAACCAUAUUUUCACCAUGUAAUGAUGCUCAUCACCAUCAGAGAUGAACCUUUACAUUUAAUUUGUCUGUUUCACUUUCAUCAUCUCUGAACAAGACCAGUUAAUGAAAACAAAUCUAGUGACAAUUUCCCCUCACAAUUAAUGGCUAUAAAUCAUUAUUUUCCAGUCAACAUUAUUUUACCUUUAAUAUUUCACUUUCUUCCACUCAAAUGAUAAUCAAAACAAUUUUUACCCAAAUAUGUAUAUUUAGAUUUUGCUCAAGAAAAGGUAAAAAUUUGAAUGAGCAUUUGUUUUCCCUGUAAACAAUACAUGAGAUUGUCUUUUAGCACAACUCAUUGAUUCCAAGAAUAGUUUCACUUGUUAUUAUCCACUUAAAUGCUAAUCUAUUCCUAUUAUUGUGGUUACAAUUA